RNAcentral lists this ribosomal RNA (491 nucleotides) under uncultured bacterium. RNAcentral's name for it is "partial 16S ribosomal RNA". It matches the Rfam family "Bacterial small subunit ribosomal RNA", at positions 29 to 507 of the family's 1533-position model. The record is from RNAcentral.
AGUGAACGCUGGCGGUAGGCCUAACACAUGCAAGUCGAACGGCAGCACAGUAAGAGCUUGCUCUUACGGGUGGCGAGUGGCGGACGGGUGAGGAAUACAUCGGAAUCUACUUUUUCGUGGGGGAUAACGUAGGGAAACUUACGCUAAUACCGCAUACGACCUACGGGUGAAAGCAGGGGAUCUUCGGACCUUGCGCGAUUGAAUGAGCCGAUGUCGGAUUAGCUAGUUGGCGGGGUAAAGGCCCACCAAGGCGACGAUCCGUAGCUGGUCUGAGAGGAUGAUCAGCCACACUGGAACUGAGACACGGUCCAGACUCCUACGGGAGGCAGCAGUGGGGAAUAUUGGACAAUGGGCGCAAGCCUGAUCCAGCCAUACCGCGUGGAUGAAGAAGGCCUUCGGGUUGUAAAGCCCUUUUGUUGGGAAGAAAAGCAGCAGGUUAAUACCCCGCUGUUCUGACGGUACCCAAAGAAUAAGCACCGGCUAACUUCGUG